This 497-nucleotide ribosomal RNA is filed under the name uncultured bacterium. Its description in RNAcentral is "bacterial SSU rRNA". It matches the Rfam family "Bacterial small subunit ribosomal RNA", at positions 24 to 518 of the family's 1533-position model. The record is from RNAcentral.
UCAGGACGAACGCUGGCGGCGUGCCUAAUACAUGCAAGUCGAACGGUCUUUCUAUGGAAGCUUGCUUCCACUGAGAAGAUAGUGGCGAACGGGUGAGUAACACGUGGGGUAACCUGCCCAUAAGAGGGGGAUAACAUCCGGAAACGGGUGCUAAUACCGCAUAGUUUUCUUGAUCGCAUGAUUGAGAAAGGAAAGACGGCCUUUGUGCUGUCGCUUAUGGAUGGACCCGCGGCGUAUUAGUUAGUUGGUGAGGUAACGGCUCACCAAGACGAUGAUACGUAGCCGACCUGAGAGGGUGAUCGGCCACAUUGGGACUGAGACACGGCCCAAACUCCUACGGGAGGCAGCAGUAGGGAAUAUUGCACAAUGGGGGAAACCCUGAUGCAAGCAACGCCGCGUGAGUGAUGACGGCCUUCGGGUUGUAAAGCUCUGUCUUCAGGGACGAUAAUGACGGUACCUGAGGAGGAAGCCACGGCUAACUACGUGCCAGCCGCUGC